UAGCCGUCACACAUAAGCACCCACACCCCUCUCUUCAUCUUCUGCAAGCACACCCUCAAAACCUUAGCUGAAAACCACCAUAACGUCGGAAACCCACCAUUUCCGACCACCUCGAUGCCCCCUCCGUUCGUUCUCAUCUUCCUCACCACCCUAUCACCCUCAGUUCGCCGGAAAACCACCCAACCAGCUUCUCACCAUCGCACAGCCCGUCGACCAGCAGACCCCAGCGACGCCGCUGCUAGCCCGUCGACCUCCACGAGCGACCAAAUUCCACAAAAACGCAUCAACGUCCAGACCACCACUGCUUCCAGUGAGGCCUCCCUCCAGUCGCGCUAACCAGCAGCCUUUCCUCCAUCGAACGCGCUGCUUCACUUCUACUCCUCACGUCCAGCCCAACGCCUGAAGCAGUCCAGUCGACCACUUCACUGCCCAACAUCGUCACCCACGACCAGUGAUGAACCAGUCUGCUUCACCCCUUAUUCCAAACGACCACCCAUGUCGCUAACCACUCAAAUGACCAAAACAGCCCCCGUCGUUGUUCCGUCUAACAUAACGCUUAUGUCAGUUUGAGUACAUACUUUUUCGUUGAGACCGUCGGUUCGUCGAGGUAAUGUCGUUGUUUUCCGGUUCGAGCUCCAUCCCGAGUUCAAAAUUUUUGGGCAGAUUCGAGUUAUUAUAGUUUCAAAGUUUUCAGGCAGAUUUGUUUUUGUUUGAGUUCGUCUUUAUUCCGAUCCGGUUUGUUGGUUUAAGUUUCAUUUCUGUCCGUAUUUUGUUUGAUAUUUCUCGAAUUUGAAAUCAGUAUAUGUUUGAUUCUUUUCUUGUUCAUUGUUUAUCAUUUCUUGAUUAUUUCUUUAGUUUGUUUUUAUUCAUUUUAAAGAAUUUAGUUUUGAUAUAAAAGUUUUUUAGUUUAAUCACUUGAAUCCUUCAUCGUGGUUGUAAUAUUGUUAGAUUUAGUUUGAGGUUCAAUUGAUUAUUGAGUUUAAUGAUUUGAAUCUUUUUAUUUGUUCUGUUUAAGUUUAAUUUGAAUCUGAGCUGUGAUUUGAAUCUACUUGUUUUUUAUUGUUGUUGAAUCUGAAAGUAUGUUUGUUGUUAAAAAUGUUGUUCAGUUAAAAUAAUUUCAGUUGUUUCUUUGUUGUUCAUCAUAUAGUUUGAAUUUGUUUAUUGAAUUUGAUUAGUAAUUGGUUAUAGCUGUUGUAUCUUGGUUAAUUGAUUAGUUAUAGCUGAUAGGGGUAGAAUAGUAAUUUUUAGUAAUUUUGAGGGUAUUUUGGGAAUUGAUUAAAUAUGGGCCCAUAACUUUUAAUUAAAAUAAGAGGGGACUAGGGUUAGUGUGAGAAAAGACAUAAUGAUGUAAAGUAAAAAAGGGGGUAAUAAGAAAAGGUCUUCUUUGGCCACUGAAAAGAGGUGGGCUUUGGUGUCCAUGCUGACUGCUUUUACUUUAUUGGAAAUCAUAAAUAGUAUAGGUAAUAGUAAAUGGGUAAAAGAUAGAUAUAGAGAAGAAUAUUUUUGGGCUGGAAAGUGAAGAAAGGAAAAGAGGUAAUAAUAAAAGAGGGUAGUAAUAAUAAUUAAAUGGUAUAGGAAAGAGUCUUGCUUGGGAUAUAAAAAAGGAGUCAUUUUGACACUUAAAAAGGAAGGGAUUUCAGAGAUAAAAAUUUCAGAACUUAAAGAGAAGACGAAAAAACAGAGAAUAAAAAAAAGAAUAGAGAGUUGAAAAAUUAGAAAGCUGAAAACCCCAUUGUUUAUUUGAAGCUUCUCUUUUUGCUUCAUUGAUUUUAUUUUCUCUUGAUUCAAAUACUCUAAGACCGAUCUUAAGUAACUCCAGUGUAUCUUUGAGUUCAUUUGGCUUGUGUUGAUAUUGUAGUGAGUUAAAUGCCAUUUUUGUUGGUAUUUUCUGGUUUGAUUUUACUGGGUUUCUGGUCUGUUGCUAUUGGUUUGCUGGGAAUUCUGUUGGGUUUUGUUGAAAUAUGUUGCUGGUUUUAGCUACUGCUGUUGCUGUUUUGCUGUGUUGAUUACUCCCUUGCUGAUUUCUCACCUUCCUCUUCUUUUGUUUCCAAUACCAGGUACACGACUGCAACAUUGGUUAUUGUAAGCUGAAAAAUGUAGAAGCAUGAAUACAAAUAAAAAAUAGAAGUUUGAAGUUUUGAUUUAACUUUUUC
Molecule: long non-coding RNA, 2153 nt
Filed under: Nicotiana benthamiana
Lineage: Eukaryota; Viridiplantae; Streptophyta; Magnoliopsida; Solanales; Solanaceae
Description: long non-coding RNA (NBEN_LNC014249)
Source: RNAcentral